Potamilus streckersoni is the source of this 74-nucleotide non-coding RNA. The record is from the annotation of a GenBank genome assembly. Lineage: Eukaryota; Metazoa; Mollusca; Bivalvia; Unionida; Unionidae.
UGCUCUAGUGGCCUAGUGAUUAGAGCGUCCGCCUCAGAUGCGGGAGAUCAUGGGUUCGACCCCCGGUUGAGUCA